Felis catus (domestic cat) is the source of this 3029-nucleotide long non-coding RNA. RefSeq lists it as uncharacterized. The transcript is spliced from 3 exons. The record is from RefSeq and is a predicted model, not a curated record. NCBI's taxonomy places the organism in Eukaryota, Metazoa, Chordata, Mammalia, Carnivora, Felidae.
CCUGCGGAGAAGGUGACUCAGUCACUGCCCCAGGACGGCCAGCGUCAGGGCCUGGCGUCUAGAGAGGCACUGCCCGGAGACUGGGGCACGGCGGCCAGGCAGAGAUCCAGAGACCAGGCAGGGCCACAGACACAGCCGUGGGCUGUGUCAUCUUGGUGCCAGCUCACCGUGUGACCUCGUGCGGCUCACUCCACCUCUCUGAGCCUGAGCCUCGGACUCAACCAGCCUGGUUUGAAGGAGGAAGUACACCUCCAAAGCAUUCGGAAGUGAUGCCCUAGCUGCCGGAGGAGACCGCGCGGGGGCCCCGGCGCCUGGCACUCACGUGGUGACCUUGAGGACAUCCUUCAUGCUGGUCAGUGGGUCUGAGUUGUCAGGGCAGCGCAGGAGGCAGGGUGCGAAGAUGAUAGCGAGAGCACUGGGCGACAUGCGGUUCACGUCCUCGAGCAGGGCCACCCUGCGUGGUGAGCGGCAGUUAGGGGUGGCCAGGGAGCCCCGAGACUGGAGGCCAGGACCCUGGGGCUGCUGCCAGGAAAAGUGCCUCCAGACCCUGGAGGUGGAGGCUAGCACCUCGCUUCCAUGGGGCAGAGAGCCACCGCAGGAGAGCGUGGGGGGCCCCUCCCCGACCCCCGCCCCCAACCCGGCCCCGGGGCCUGGGGUGCAACCACCAGAGAACGCUGGCCCAGGGAACACUGUGGCGGGGCUCCUGAUGGGGACCCCCACCCCACAAGAGCAGGUGGCAGGCACUUGCUUGACGAGGUGGAAGAUGAGCCUCUCCAAUGAGUUGUGGUUGGCCUCAGGCAGGUGCUCCAGGACGGUGUAGAUGGCGGCCAGCUGCUCCUGCUUUCCCGGCAGCUCUGGAAGGACCCAGGGCGUCAGCUCCCCAUAGCGCUGGCCCCCCCAACGUUCCCGGGGCGCAGGGGAGCCCCCCCGCCACGUGGGGCCAGAUGCAGGGCCACAAGGGCUACGUGCCCUAGGCUGGGGACCCGCACCGGGCCGGCUGCUUUGAGCCUUGGCUUCUCAGCUGUGCUCCCCGAUUAGCCGCAGUGAGCGCGCGUGGUUCCAACCCUGGCCGUGGCCACCUGCCCUGCCCUCGCUGCUGCUGUGGGACUCACCUACGGCUCGGAGGAAGUCGCCGUACUGGGCAAAAGUCAUGAGGGGCUCAGGCAGCUCCCGAAGCCACUGCUUGAGCACGCCGGUGAUGGCAUGGAUGGGGAAGUUCUCCAGCUUGACGGCCGCGGGGUCUGCGGGGAGGCGGGGGGCGGGGCUGGUGAACGCAGGCAGGGGGGCUGUGCCCCAGCCCCCUCGUGCCCACUCCCCCCGGACACCCACCUGUCUGCAGUGCCUGUCGGAGCUCCCGCGUGCGGUUGGCAGCGCCCGACUUGCGGUAGAGGCCCUCGGUGUACAGGCCGUGCAUCUCCACAUGUUCCAGAAGCUUCUCCAGCACAACAGGCACUGAGGCCUUGUCACUGGUCAGGCUGUCCACGCACACGCCGAAGUGGCCCGGCUCGGCGCCUGGCUCGCUCUGCAGUACCAGAGGUGGGGGGGGGGGGUCAGGUCUCCUGUGUGGGCUCUACCCUCCCUGCCCCUCACGCCCCCCAUAGGCUGCUGGGGGCGCCUGGCUGGGGAGGUGAGCUUGCUGGCCGCUGGGCAGGGGCUCCCCCUGCGGAGCGGCCCCAGCUGCCUCAGGGUGGUUGGUCCUGCUUCCGCUGCAGCUCCAGUGCUUGGGACCCUGCCUCCCUCACGCAGAGUUGGGGACGCCCUCCUGGGUCUCGGGCGGGGCAGGGCUGGGGGUCUGAGACGCACGUAUAAGCCCAGUCCUGUCUCAGGAGACCCCGAGGGGCUCUGACAGAACAGGGGCUGCAAACCAGCCCCUCGUCUGACACCCUACGCUGGCCUGGCACCAAGCACACCCUCUCCUCUGCAUCGCUCGGGAGUGCCUCCCCUAGGUGUUCCGGAAAGUUCCCGGCCUGCUCACCUUUCUCCUGCAUGCGUAGGCGCAGUAGGUCUGAAUCUUGGGCACACACUUCUUGUGGCAGGUCAUCUUGCACACUAGGAGGUAAGGGGGGGGGUGGUCACAGAUGAUGCAUCGAGGACCCCGGUUUCCCGAGGCCGCCUGCCCUGUCGGCCAGGGACCCGCUGACCAGCUUCUAAAUUGGAGUCCUACGAAUCCCUGCCCUGAUGCCCAGGUGAGGAAGCCACGUGGGCAGAUGUUCACAGCUGGUGACUCUGUGUGGCCUCAGAGCCCGGCCGGCGGGACAGGAGCAAGGGCUCGGGAGGGGGGAGGUGGGGGGCAGGGGCAUACUUGAGAGAGGAAAUGGGCUGAGACCAAAAAGGAGAGGGCAGCUAGUGUCCUUGUCUCAGGACGGUGACAACUGCCUGGGUUUUUUUUUUUUUUUAACAUUUUUAUUUAUUUUUGAGAGACAGAGCGUGAGCGGGGGAGGGGCAGAGGGAAAGGGAGACACAGAAUCAGAAGCACUGCCUGGGUAUUUGUGAUGGACAUGAGGGGACAGAUCGCUCUUUACACAGGGACUGAGGAGACAGGAGACCCCGGGCAGAAGAGAGAGAGGCCCAGGGAGAGAAAGCUGAUCCCUGCAGGAAAAUACAACUGCCAGAGACCGACUGACCCGGCCCCGGCCUCCUGCCAGCUGGGUCAUCCUGGGCUUAAGCUCCAUGCCCAACGUGGGGCUUGAACCCACGACCCUGAGAUCAAGAGUCCCAUGCUCUACCGCCUGAGCCAGCACCUCAAGACCCACUGAGUUUUUACACGAGAUGUAAACAUCUGUGGUGAGCAACAGGAACACCGGCUGCAGGUGUUCUCACGUGAGCCCAGGGAGGGGUUCUCAUCUGGUUUCCGGAACUUUCUGUGCCGGAACUGUGCACCUGGAUUUUCUGUUCCCGGCGCACGAAGGGCUGUGGUGUGGCGGCUCAGAAAACGGCCGGGUGGUGAAAACCCUUCUGGGGAGGCCCAGCUCUGACACUGCGUGUCCCCCCGCGACGCCGUACGUGCCCCUGGGUGACCCACCUUGUUG